Molecule: ribosomal RNA, 403 nt
Filed under: uncultured bacterium
Lineage: Bacteria
Description: bacterial SSU rRNA
Rfam family: Bacterial small subunit ribosomal RNA
Source: RNAcentral
UUAGGAAUCUUGGACAAUGGGCGCAAGCCUGAUCCAGCCAUGCCGCGUGAGUGAUGAAGGCCCUAGGGUUGUAAAGCUCUUUCAGCGGGGAAGAUAAUGACGGUACCCGCAGAAGAAGCCCCGGCUAACUUCGUGCCAGCAGCCGCGGUAAUACGAAGGGGGCUAGCGUUGCUCGGAAUCACUGGGCGUAAAGCGCACGUAGGCGGAUCUUUAAGUCAGGGGUGAAAUCCUGGAGCUCAACUCCAGAACUGCCUUUGAUACUGAGGAUCUCGAGUCCGGAAGAGGUGAGUGGAACUCCGAGUGUAGAGGUGAAAUUCGUAGAUAUUCGGAAGAACACCAGUGGCGAAGGCGGCUCACUGGUCCGGUACUGACGCUGAGGUGCGAAAGCGUGGGGAGCAAACAG